AUAGCUCAAUGGUAGAGUGCGUGCCUAGCAUGCAUGAGGUCCUGAGUUCAAGGCCCAGU
Molecule: transfer RNA, 59 nt
Filed under: Camelus bactrianus (Bactrian camel)
Lineage: Eukaryota; Metazoa; Chordata; Mammalia; Artiodactyla; Camelidae
Also listed under: 1 other name
Rfam family: tRNA
About the family: Transfer RNA (tRNA) molecules are approximately 80 nucleotides in length. Their secondary structure includes four short double-helical elements and three loops (D, anti-codon, and T loops).
Source: Rfam by way of RNAcentral